Molecule: ribosomal RNA, 839 nt
Filed under: uncultured archaeon
Lineage: Archaea
Description: bacterial SSU rRNA
Rfam family: Archaeal small subunit ribosomal RNA
Source: RNAcentral
AGGUUACUGCUAUCGGUGUUCGCCUAAGCCAUGCGAGUCAUAUGUUCUUCGUGAACAUGGCGUACUGCUCAGUAACACGUGGAUAACCUGCCCUUGGGUCCGGCAUAACCCCGGGAAACUGGGGAUAAUUCCGGAUAACGCACAUAUGCUGGAAUGCUUUAUGCGUCAAAUGGAUUCGUCCGCCCAAGGAUGGGUCUGCGGCCUAUCAGGUAGUAGUGGGUGUAAUGUACCUACUAGCCUACGACGGGUACGGGUUGUGAGAGCAAGAGCCCGGAGAUGGAUUCUGAGACAUGAAUCCAGGCCCUACGGGGCGCAGCAGGCGCGAAAACUUUACAAUGCGGGAAACCGUGAUAAGGGGACACCGAGUGCCAGCAUCAUAUGCUGGCUGUCCGGGUGUGUAAAAUACACCUGUUAGCAAGGGCCGGGCAAGACCGGUGCCAGCCGCCGCGGUAACACCGGCGGCCCGAGUGGUGAUCGUGAUUAUUGGGUCUAAAGGGUCCGUAGCCGGUUUGGUCAGUCCUCCGGGAAAUCUGACGGCUUAACCGUUAGGCUUUCGGGGGAUACUGCCAGACUUGGAACCGGGAGAGGUAAGAGGUACUACAGGGGUAGGAGUGAAAUCUUGUAAUCCCUGUGGGACCACCUGUGGCAAAGGCGUCUUACCAGAACGGGUUCGACGGUGAGGGACGAAAGCUGGGGGCACGAACCGGAUUAGAUACCCGGGUAGUCCCAGCCGUAAACGAUGCUCGCUAGGUGUCAGGCAUGGCGCGACCGUGUCUGGUGCCGCAGGGAAGCCGUGAAGCGAGCCACCUGGGAAGUACGGCCGCAAGGCUGAAACUUAA